The sequence is a transfer RNA, 72 nucleotides long. It matches the Rfam family "tRNA". Rfam says of the family: Transfer RNA (tRNA) molecules are approximately 80 nucleotides in length. The record is from Rfam.
GGGGAAAUGGUGUAGUGGUAUCACAAUUCCUUCGCAUGGAAUAGGUCGCGAGUUCAAUCCUCGCUUUCUCCA